GAACUGCUGAAGAGUUCCACAAUAGGACGAAACGGCUGUCCAGUGC
Schistosoma rodhaini is the source of this 46-nucleotide non-coding RNA. Lineage: Eukaryota; Metazoa; Platyhelminthes; Trematoda; Strigeidida; Schistosomatidae. The record is from Rfam.